This 246-nucleotide long non-coding RNA is filed under the name Prunus persica (peach). Its description in RNAcentral is "long non-coding RNA (PPER_LNC004204)". Lineage: Eukaryota; Viridiplantae; Streptophyta; Magnoliopsida; Rosales; Rosaceae. The record is from RNAcentral.
UCGUCACCACCAAGAAUGCUUCAGUGUCACAAAAGCCCAAGCUAUUGCAACACAUGCUAAAUAACUCCAUGCAAAGCUAAUACAUUUUUCAUACACCAAAUCACCUACCAAGCUCACAUGAACCCAAGUCAUAUAUAGUUCACGGGGCUUGCAUGAGGGGUCAUGGUGUGCAAGGUUACGGAGGUCCACAAGACCCAAGAAACCUAUUGGAUAAUUGAGACUUUGGGCUGCUUGGGAGCACCAAAG